AGUGAACGCUGGCGGUAGGCCUAACACAUGCAAGUCGAACGGCAGCACAGUAAGAGCUUGCUCUUACGGGUGGCGAGUGGCGGACGGGUGAGGAAUACAUCGGACUCUACUUUUUCGUGGGGGAUAACGUAGGGAAACUUACGCUAAUACCGCAUACGACCUACGGGUGAAAGCAGGGGAUCUUCGGACCUUGCGCGAUUGAAUGAGCCGAUGUCGGAUUAGCUAGUUGGCGGGGUAAAGGCCCACCAAGGCGACGAUCCGUAGCUGGUCUGAGAGGAUGAUCAGCCACACUGGAACUGAGACACGGUCCAGACUCCUACGGGAGGCAGCAGUGGGGAAUAUUGGACAAUGGGCGCAAGACUGAUCCAGCCAUACCGCGUGGGUGAAGAAGGCCUUCGGGUUGUAAAGCCCUUUUGUUGGGAAAGAAAAGCAGCAGGUUAAUACCCCGCUGUUCUGACGGUACCCAAAGAAUAAGCACCGGCUAACUUCGUG
Molecule: ribosomal RNA, 492 nt
Filed under: uncultured bacterium
Lineage: Bacteria
Description: partial 16S ribosomal RNA
Rfam family: Bacterial small subunit ribosomal RNA
Source: RNAcentral